AAUUAUUUACUAUUUAGAGGUAAAAUAAAAUAUCUUCCUCGUGUGAACCAACCUUCUAACUGGGCCAGAAGUUAAUGAUUCGACCAUAUACUAACUGUCUAAUUUACAUAAACUCAGUAGAAUAACCUUUGUUUAUUCAUUUAUUAAAGACAUAAAAUUCACACUCCAUUCAGCCAAAUGCUCACAUUACAAAGUCACUCAUCAUCAUCAACAGAAAGAUACAUAAAACCCCUUUUAUCACGUCCCUUGCAGCCUCUCCACAUUUCAUACUUUUGAAUUUACACAAGUGUUGCCUUGGCGAGCUGAACCGCUUUCUCUCGCCCGUAAAACUUCUCAACAAUCGCAAGUGAAAACUCCAUUGCAGUCCCUGGAGCUCUGCUCGUUAUCACAUUUCCAUCCACAACAACUCUGUGCUCAACGUGGCUCUGGUCCGAAAGUUUGUUGCUCACACAUGGGUGUGUAGUUGCCUUCUUACCCUAUACAAAACAUAUCUCAUAUUAUAACUCAGUUUAAGAUAUAACAAGAAUAUUGAUACUUAACGUUUUCACAAUACAAAUAAUGCACCUUGAGUAAACCAUGAGGCUCAAAGACGUAAACAGGCGAUGCGCAUAUUCCUCCAUAAGGUUUGUUUGCUUCAGCUUGUUUCUUUAACAUAUUCACCAAUUUCUCGCAACUUGCCAAUCUUGGUGCACCGUUAAGACCUCCCUGAAUGUGUUACAUCAAAGAGAUUAGAUUUUUUUUUCGCUUUUGUUAUUUUUUACAAUGAAUCUCUUUGAAAAUAAGCACUCACAGGCAACACAAUCAGAUCAAACGACUUCUCUGCAACUUCAUCAAGAAGCACAUCUGCUACUAACUUAGCUUUGCGAGAUCCUACAACUUCCAAACUGUUACCAACUGCAGCUAUC
This 905-nucleotide long non-coding RNA is filed under the name Brassica rapa (field mustard). Its description in RNAcentral is "long non-coding RNA (BRAP_LNC003868)". Lineage: Eukaryota; Viridiplantae; Streptophyta; Magnoliopsida; Brassicales; Brassicaceae. The record is from RNAcentral.